This 72-nucleotide transfer RNA is filed under the name Cordylochernes scorpioides. RNAcentral's name for it is "tRNA-Glu". The record is from RNAcentral. Lineage: Eukaryota; Metazoa; Arthropoda; Arachnida; Pseudoscorpiones; Chernetidae.
UUCCCACGCCGGGAAUCGAACCCGGGCCUCCUGGGUGAAAGCCAGGUAUCCUAGCCACUAGGCCACGUGGGA